Molecule: ribosomal RNA, 569 nt
Filed under: Pseudopaludicola jazmynmcdonaldae
Lineage: Eukaryota; Metazoa; Chordata; Amphibia; Anura; Leptodactylidae
Description: partial 16S large subunit ribosomal RNA
Rfam family: Bacterial large subunit ribosomal RNA
Source: RNAcentral
CGCCUGUUUAUCAAAAACAUCGCCUCUUGCGUUAAAUAUAAGAGGUCCAGCCUGCCCAGUGACUUUGUUCAACGGCCGCGGUAUCCUAACCGUGCGAAGGUAGCGUAAUCACUUGUUCUUUAAAUAAGGACUAGUAUGAACGGCAUCACGAGGAUUAUCCUGUCUCCUUUACCUAAUUAGUGAAACUAAUCUCCCCGUGAAGAAGCGAGGGUGAUAUUAUAAGACGAGAAGACCCUAUGGAGCUUUAGAUUUAACGACACUUGUCCACAUUAAACUAAAUUUCAGAACUCUAUACUCACCUGACAAGAUGAUCGUCAAUCUUAGGUUGGGGUGACCACGGAGCACAAAACAACCUCCUUGCUGAACGACAUUCAAUGUCUUAUUCUCGAGCAACCACUCUAAAAAACAAUAUAUCGACACUCAUUGACCCAAUUUUUGAUCAACGAACCAAGUUACCCUAGGGAUAACAGCGCAAUCCACUUCAAGAGCUCCUAUCGACAAGUGGGUUUACGACCUCGAUGUUGGAUCAGGGUACCCCAGUGGUGCAGCCGCUACUAAAGGUUCGUUUG